UACUCUAUCUGUCAGAGGAGAAGCUACUGCAGGCAUUUUGGCAGUGUUCAGGAUAGGCUUGGGUGUGACAGCCUCAAUUAGCUACCGAAUAGCACCAGAAGCAUCAACUACAGUCUGUGAUACUUCACCUAAAGGAGAUGCUACUGCUUGCUUUGAGGUAUACAGUAUUACUAAUGGAAGGAUCCGUCUUGCAGCUUUUUGGCAAAGGCGUAAGCUGAAGUGCUACUGGAGUUGGGGGCCAAAAUGCAAGUUCUACUGGUCUGGUCGGAAUACAUUCCGCCCAUUGUCAAAGACAUGGAACUUGUACAGCAGGAAAAGGAAGCUGUUUGGUGUCUGCAGAGUCUGCGAGUGCUAUGGGAAUCAUUUCCUUAAUGUGCUCUGCCAUGGCAGCAGGCAUGGAUCAUCAACUUGUUCCUGCAGGACGCAGUACAGUGGGUAAUGGAUACACUUGAACAAAAACUGACCUUUGUUUUGUAGUGUAUUGAACAAAGGAUUUGUAGUUAUAGGCCCUGUUUUAUUAGUAGAAAAAAAGUUAAUUUAGAAUGAGAGGGAAAGUUAUUAAA
RNAcentral lists this long non-coding RNA (563 nucleotides) under Amphimedon queenslandica. RNAcentral's name for it is "uncharacterized LOC109582735". The record is from RNAcentral. Lineage: Eukaryota; Metazoa; Porifera; Demospongiae; Haplosclerida; Niphatidae.